AUGGCCAUAUACGGCAUAUAUGGACAUAUUUACCAUCCUAAAAUUAUUAAAGUACCGAGGCAUACCAAUAUUUAAAUCGUGAACUGUUACACAGUGAGGGUGAUUUCGUCUUUUUUUUUAAGUAAAUGUGCACCUCAGACAGUUUAAUAUGUAUUAAACCAAGAUGAAAUUCACUUGCAAACUUAAUUCUUUUUAAGUUUUAAGAGGAAUCUACAGAGCUCACGUGGUUUUAUAAGAAAUGGCUACUAACAGAUAACAUCUGGUGAUAUUGUGAAGGUUUAUAAAAAUAACUAUUCACAACAGGUAACAUUGUAAAGGUGUAUAAAAAUAACUAUUCACAACAGGUAACAUCUGGUGACAUUGUAAAGGUUUAUAAAAAUAACUAUGCACAACAUGUAACAACUGGUGACAUUGUAAAGGUUUAUAAAAUAAUUAUUCACAACAGGUAACAUCUGGUGACAUUGUGAAGGUUUAUAAAAAUAACUAUUCACACAGGUAACAUUGUAAAGGUGUAUAAAAAUAACUAUGCACAACAUGUAACAACUGGUGACAUUGUAAAGGUUUAUAAAAAUAACUAUUCACAACAGGUAACAUUGUAAAGGUGUAUAAAAAUAACUAUGCACAACAUGUAACAACUGGUGACAUUGUAAAG
Paramisgurnus dabryanus is the source of this 652-nucleotide non-coding RNA. Lineage: Eukaryota; Metazoa; Chordata; Actinopteri; Cypriniformes; Cobitidae. The record is from RefSeq and is a predicted model, not a curated record.